Non-coding RNA from Prunus mume (Japanese apricot), 914 nucleotides. Lineage: Eukaryota; Viridiplantae; Streptophyta; Magnoliopsida; Rosales; Rosaceae. The record is from RefSeq and is a predicted model, not a curated record.
CAGACGUGCAGAAGUGGCGUUCUAUUCAGAAGGCUUGCAAUGCAGGAUAUGUGCUAUCCAUUAAGUCUUUAUACGCCACUUCAGAGGGCCCUAUGAUUGUCUUUACUGAACCAGUAAAGUCGUCGCUUGCAUAUUGGGUUACGAAGAUGAAAGUGGAACAAAAGCCACUUAUUGAUCCGGCAACUGGUUACAUCACUCCUGCCGUCUGUUCUAUUUACAGGGAUAUUCUCACGUCGAUUAUGCAUGUGCGCAAUUAUACUAAUAAUUGUCAUGGGAAUGUCACCCUGGAGAACAUAUGGCUGAGAAGAGGAAGCACAGUAUUAGGCAGUCCAAAAUGUUUAGAGACUGUAGUCCAGGAUCAGGCUGAAUGUGUUACCGAUACCGACAUGUUUGAACGUGUACUUGACAUCAUUCAUGAUGACUUCUUGCCCAAGGAGCUAGAGUUCUUCUGCAGGAUCUUGCAUGAUGAUGUCGCAUAAGUCACAUAUUAUUAUGAUUAUUAUUAUUAUUGAACUGCCAUGUCAUAUUGUCUUUACUGGUGCUUAGCCCUUUCUUGAAGACACAUACAGAGAAGAUGAGAGACAGGUUUCUGGCUGUGAGUUAUUUUUUGACAGUACCGAUUCUACUACAAGGGCAAAUGCAGUGCAAAUAUAUAAGGGCCAUUGGAAUCUUUUAUUUGCAAAUGAACCCGAAUGUGCAGUGAUGUGGCAUACUAACGUGACAGCCCAUAAUCCUAUUUCUUCUGGCAAAGAUCAUCCUGUUACCAGUGGCGGAGCCAGGAAUCUUACCACAAUGGGUCUUAGCGUAAAAGUCCAAAUAAAAAUUUAGGAUGGAAAAACAUAUUGAAAAUGAAGUCAUAGUACUUUCAUUCAUAAUUCAUAACUGAAACAAUAUUACAAGCUAUAAUUGUCCAC